AACGAACGCUGGCGGCAUGCCUAACACAUGCAAGUCGAACGAAGGCUUCGGCCUUGGUGGCGCACGGGUGCGUAACGCGUGGGAAUCUGCCCCUCGGUUCGGAAUAACAGUUAGAAAUGACUGCUAAUACCGGAUGAUGACUUCGGUCCAAAGAUUUAUCGCCGAGGGAUGAGCCCGCGUAAGAUUAGGUAGUUGGUGGGGUAAAGGCCUACCAAGCCGACGAUCUUUAGCUGGUCUGAGAGGAUGAUCAGUCACACUGGGACUGAGACACGGCCCAGACUCCUACGGGAGGCAGCAGUGGGGAAUAUUGGACAAUGGGCGAAAGCCUGAUCCAGCAAUGCCGCGUGAGUGAUGAAGGCCUUAGGGUUGUAAAGCUCUUUUACCAGGGAUGAUAAUGACAGUACCUGGAGAAUAAGUUCCGGCUAACUCCGUGCCAGCCGCCGCAGUAA
RNAcentral lists this ribosomal RNA (449 nucleotides) under uncultured bacterium. Its description in RNAcentral is "partial 16S ribosomal RNA". It matches the Rfam family "Bacterial small subunit ribosomal RNA", at positions 29 to 523 of the family's 1533-position model. The record is from RNAcentral.